UUUAAAGAGUCGGUUCAAAGAAUCGGUUCGGUUCAAAGAGUCGACUCAGUUUACCGAAAGUGAAAGUGUUUCUCAGUCUCGACUCCAUUUUGAGUAACGGUUAGAAAAACACAAAGAUCUUCACCAGCAGCCAGAAGCGGUGAGAUUCAUGUCCAACAACAAGCAGUGCUGAAGAAAAGUGGGAAUGUGAUUAAUUCCAACAGAAGAGAUCGGCGUCUUCAGGACUCUGUGUGUACACAAGCAUUAAAAAAUGGAGAUUACUGAUCAGGGGACAGGUCAUGUGACCUCACCGUCAAAAGACAGUAAACGAAAGAGAGAGAAAUCACACUCGCCAGAACCCAGCUGUGUCUCUAUGAAGAGUGAUGAGUCUAUGAGUCUUCUUCACAACUUCAGUAAUGAAAACCCCUCACCUGUACACAGCGUUGAGCAAAAACCCAAAGAACUGGACUUUCUGUUCCAAUACUUUUGGAGGUUUGUGUAAGAAGAAUAGAAAACGAGGAAAAAGUGACUAAUUUAAACUGGGGCACAUUUAAUUCACCAGGUGCACAAUGUUGGAGUUCAAGUUUAUUUCUAUUGAGCUUUUCACAAUGGAUUUUGUCUUAAAGCA
Molecule: long non-coding RNA, 607 nt
Organism: Silurus meridionalis
Lineage: Eukaryota; Metazoa; Chordata; Actinopteri; Siluriformes; Siluridae
Exons: 4
Source: RefSeq, a predicted model, not a curated record